Molecule: ribosomal RNA, 404 nt
Filed under: uncultured bacterium
Lineage: Bacteria
Description: bacterial SSU rRNA
Rfam family: Bacterial small subunit ribosomal RNA
Source: RNAcentral
UGGGGAAUAUUGGACAAUGGGCGAAAGCCUGAUCCAGCAAUGCCGCGUGAGUGAUGAAGGCCUUAGGGUUGUAAAGCUCUUUUACCCGGGAUGAUAAUGACAGUACCGGGAGAAUAAGCUCCGGCUAACUCCGUGCCAGCAGCCGCGGUAAUACGGAGGGAGCUAGCGUUGUUCGGAAAUACUGGGCGUAAAGCGAACGUAGGCGGCUUAGCAAGUCAGGGGUGAAAUCCCGGAGCUCAACUCCGGAACUGCCUUUGAAACUGCUUCGCUUGAAUCCUGGAGAGGCGAGUGGAAUUCCGAGUGUAGAGGUGAAAUUCGUAGAUAUUCGGAAGAACACCAGUGGCGAAGGCGACUCGCUGGACAGGUAUUGACGCUGAGGUUCGAAAGCGUGGGGAGCAAACAGG